GACAGGAGUUCACAAUGAUUCACGACAAUACCGGUACUUCAGCAUCCCCAAACAAGACGACAACAAUGUGUCCUUCACUUCGGUACCAAAGAUUCUUCGAGCAUAAUGGAACUUCUGCGGUUCAUGCAAGGUCCGCCGAUCUCUUACCAUUGCUGCCGCGGGAAAGGGAGAGCGCGAGAACUGGCAACGGCCACUGAAAAAUUAAAGAGCACCGCUAUUUGCAGUUUCUAUUUCUUGGUUAGGCUGCUUGGGUCCUGGAUGGAAGGCCCAGAGGUGUAAAGGCGAAAAAUUCGAUGGAAAACACAAAGAACGAGGAUGAGCUUCAGAAUUUAUGCAGCUUCUUAUGUUAAUUACACCGAGUAUAAUAUAAGAAAUGUGUUAUCAUAUUGGCAGCUAUUUUUACCAUCGUUAUAAAACAAAUAUUGGCAUGA
This is a non-coding RNA of Lolium perenne, 431 nucleotides long. Lineage: Eukaryota; Viridiplantae; Streptophyta; Magnoliopsida; Poales; Poaceae. The record is from RefSeq and is a predicted model, not a curated record.